AUACGGAGGGUGCAAGCGUUACUCGGAAUCACUGGGCGUAAAGCGCGCGCAGGCGGCUAUUUAAGUUGGAUGUGAAAGCCUACGGCUCAACCGUAGAACUGCAUCCAAAACUAUUUAGCUAGAGUGUGGGAGAGGAAGAUGGAAUUAGUUGUGUAGGGGUAAAAUCCGUAGAGAUAGCUAGGAAUACCAAAAGCGAAGGCAAUCUUCUGGAACACUACUGACGCUGAGGCGCGAAAGCGUGGGGAGCAAACGGGAUUAGAAACCCGAGUAGUCC
Molecule: ribosomal RNA, 274 nt
Filed under: uncultured bacterium
Lineage: Bacteria
Description: partial 16S ribosomal RNA
Rfam family: Bacterial small subunit ribosomal RNA
Source: RNAcentral